AUUUGGAGUAAAACUUAGAAAGACCCAGAACUUCUUUUCUCCCUCUCUCUACUCGCCUGUCUGUUCCUCCUCUUGGAACAGCAGCACGUCUUCACUUCUCUCUAAAAAUCUUGCAUCAAAACUUCCUAAAACUUACAUGCAAACUAAUAUCUAAGUACUUUAGCUUGUUAUAGAUAGCAAUUUAUACAAGCCAAAGAUCCAAGGAAGCUAAUCUAAAACCAGGAAAGAAGAAGGUCAGUGAGGUAGUAGAAAAUACAGAAGGUAAGCAAGAGUUCAAGGAGGAUUAAGUAUAAGAAACUUGCAAAGAAGGCAAGUCCCCACAUUUGCAGGAUUAAGGAGAAAAGGUGGGAGGAUCAUUUUCAUUGUCUAAGCUUAUGGAUGAAGUAGUAGUAAUAAGAAGAACAGAAGCGGGUCACCUAAACUACUUUAUCUAAAUAAUUAAUUUUGUUAAUAUCAGCUAUGUAAAUUAAUUAAAUUGGGAAUUUAGUUUAAAUCCUCUAGUAUAGGAUGUAAUAAUUUAGUAACUACUUUUGUUGAUAUUGAUUAGAGUAAGUAUGAUAUCAUGAAGCUACCUCUCUAGUAGUUGGAGGUAGUCCA
Beta vulgaris subsp. vulgaris (sugar beet) is the source of this 597-nucleotide long non-coding RNA. RefSeq lists it as uncharacterized. The transcript has 3 exons. Lineage: Eukaryota; Viridiplantae; Streptophyta; Magnoliopsida; Caryophyllales; Amaranthaceae. The record is from RefSeq and is a predicted model, not a curated record.